AGAGGAAUAGCUGGGUCAAAUGGUGGUUCCAUUCUAAGUUGUCCAAGGAAUCUCCAUACUGCUUUCCAGAUUGGCUGCACCAAUUUACAGUCCCACCAGCAAU
RNAcentral lists this microRNA precursor (103 nucleotides) under Marmota monax (woodchuck). Lineage: Eukaryota; Metazoa; Chordata; Mammalia; Rodentia; Sciuridae. The record is from RNAcentral.